RNAcentral lists this ribosomal RNA (279 nucleotides) under uncultured bacterium. RNAcentral describes it as "partial 16S ribosomal RNA". It matches the Rfam family "Bacterial small subunit ribosomal RNA", at positions 506 to 784 of the family's 1533-position model. The record is from RNAcentral.
UGCCAGCAGCCGCGGUAAUACGGAGGGGGUUAGCGUUAUUCGGAAUUAUUGGGCGUAAAGGGCGCGCAGGCGGUCUUGUCCGUCAGGUGUGAAAGCUCGGGGCUCAACCCCGGAAGUGCACUUGAAACAGCAAGACUUGAAUACGGUAGAGGAGAGAGGAAUUCCUGGUGUAGAGGUGAAAUUCGUAGAUAUCAGGAGGAACACCGAUGGCGAAGGCAUCUCUCUGGGUCGAUAUUGAAGCUAAGGCGCGAAGGCGUGGGUAGAGAACAGGAUUAGAUA